GACGAACGCUGGCGGCGUGCUUAACACAUGCAAGUCGAACGGAAAGGCCCUGCUUUUGCUUCGUGCUCGAUUGGCGAACGGGUGAGUAACACGUGAGUAACCUGCCCUUGACUUUGUGAUAACUUCAGGAAACUGGGGCUAAUACCCGAUAGGAUCUCCUGCUUCAUAUUGUUGGUUGGAAAGUUUGGGCGGUUGGGGCUGGACUCGCGGCUUAUCAGCUUGUUGGUGGAGUAGUUACUUUCCAAGGCUUUGACGGGUAGCCGGCCUGAGAGGGUGACCGGCGACAUUGGGCCUGCGAUAGGGACCAGAAUCCUACGGGAGGCAGCAGUGGAGAAUAUGGCAGAAUGGGGGGACGCCAGAUGCAGCAACGCCGCGUGCGGGAUGAUGGGUUACGGGUUGUAAACCGAUUUCGAAGGUGCUGAAGAGUGCGUGACGGUAAUGGGUCAGGAAGCAACGGCUAACUACGUG
This 468-nucleotide ribosomal RNA is filed under the name uncultured bacterium. RNAcentral describes it as "partial 16S ribosomal RNA". It matches the Rfam family "Bacterial small subunit ribosomal RNA", at positions 28 to 507 of the family's 1533-position model. The record is from RNAcentral.